GAAUGGGGCGGCAACGCCCGCCUCUCUCGCUGCCCCUCCCCAGCAAAUCCAGCGCCCUGCACCGGGCCAAACGGAUCCGCAAGCCGCGCUGCUGCAGCGCCGGCUGAGUGACACGCACCGCGCCCGCGUGUCCGGGCCUCGCUCUCCUCCCUCGUGAGCCGCGAUGUGAUGCAAGCAGAGCAGGGCACACGAACAUAUUUCACAACCUGCCUGCCAUGGAGGCAGAGCGGGAAGGCGGGCAAGGCGUGGGGCUGCUGCUCCGAGGCACAGGCUCUGCACCGGCCUCCCUCGCAAUGGCUGAGGUCACCGUGACUGGAAAGAAGAGUGGACUAUCCAGGCCCAGCUGGAGGACUGGGCCUCUUAGGAGUGGAAGUGGAGUGGGAAAAAUACCUGGCCAUCCCCGCAGACCAGGGAGGGCACUGAGCCCUGCCCCACAGACAACGUGGGGAAGGAACUCUGCGUUUUGCUAUAGGCAAGCAAGACAUGGACACUAAGGAAACAGGACAUUAGGAGGCUUUCUGAUUUCACUUGGCUGGAGGACUGAGCCACUGAAGAUUUGCCUAAUGAGGCUGACAACCUAGAGGGGUGUCAGGAGAAAAAAAGACUGCAGCACCAGACCCACCCAGCAGGAGGCACUCACAAAGAGCUGAAUGUCACGUCUAGGGCCUUACCAAGUCGAAAUGCUACAGGCACUUGCUGAGCAUUAGCCAUACCUUUUACAUGACUAACAAAUAGGUAAUCACCUGAAUUUACAGCAUAACUGGAGUGAUAGCCAAUAUCACCAAAAGAAAGAAAACUUGAGUUUGUGGGAUAUGUGGGCUGGAUGAGCAGAGGAAGGUUGCUGAAGCUAGUUUUGUAGGGACUGGGGCCAGGAGCCAGCAGCAGGGUGUUCCCACAACAAGUGUGGUUUGAUAAUGUGGCUGACUGGAUGGGAUGUGGCAUGGCACACAACUCAAGGCUGUGCAAAGAUUGCAAGACAUGGAGGAAGAUUGCUGGGCAAUGACUCCCAUGUGUUGUGGUUACUGUUCAUGGUGCUGUGACCUUAUGGUGCUUUGCACUAAGAGAAUAACAACAGUCAAAAAUGACCAGUCAUAGUCUUUAUUUGACCAAGAGUGCCUGAUGACUGUCGGGAAAGUUGUUGACUGGGUUUUCAGUAUGCCCCUGGGUAGACCGUCUGUGUCACCAUUGCAAAUGAGUGGCUCAUGCUUCCCACAAGAUUCCUUUCUCUACCACAGACUCUAGUUUUGUAUGUAGACUCAUCACCCCAGAUUUUAAAGUCAGAAAGAUAGAAAUCAGACCUGUGAUCCAUCUAGGCUGGUACCCUGUCUCCAACAGUGGCUUGUACCUAGUGCUUCGGAGUAAAAUCCAUUUUAGACAAUUAUGGAAUAGUCUGCACAAAGAAGAAAUUUCUUCCUAAACCUCAUCAGUUAGUGGUUGACUUAUGCCUUCAAGCAUAAGGGUUUAUAUCUCUCAAAUAUUUUAUCCUGUCUAAUGUAGUUGAUGUUCUUAUAAUAUAGAUGUCUAAUCUUUUUUUGAAACCUAGUAAGCUUAUGCCUGUUAUAGUAUCUUGUGGCAAUGAGUUCCGCACUCAUUGUUUACAAAUUGUUUUUUAAACCUUUGAAUUAAAUUACACCCAGAAGUGAAUAAGAACCAGUGCAGUCUUUGAUGUAACAAUCUGCCUAAAGCAAGGCCAUUAAGCUGACACGCCACUGCAUUCAGCAUCACCUAAUAAGUGGUGUUCCAGCAUAGCUCCAUGUAGAGUACAUAUCAGUAAUUUAAUCUAGUUGGCCUGAAUGACACAGGCAAGGUCCAUAUAAAAGAGAAUUAGUUAGUCUUUGAGCAGGAAUCAAAUGAAAAAGGAUACUUCUAGCCACUGUUGCCACCCGGGACUGCAGGAUCAAUCAGGGAUCCAGGAAUACCCCUACAAUAUGAAUCUCCCUCUGUGUACUUACACAACACCCACACCAUAGCAUUUGAUAAUCCAGUGUAAAUUAAUUAAUAUUCCAUCCAGUACCCCGUCAGGUAGGGGAGCAUUUUAGGCACAGAGGGUGCUAUUCAAUAAGCUCAGACCAGGGGAAGCCAUGCCUAUGGUGGCUUUGUACCACUCUUGCCCCCUCCUGGGCUGCUUUGGGGGCUGGAGCAUCCCCCAGCAUAGUUUAGUGUGAUUGCAGUUCGGGUAGGCAUACCUGCACUAGCUUUACCCGAGCUAGCAUAGCUACAGAUAGCACUGAAAAUACAGCAGCACGGGUUUCAGCAACAUGAGUAGAUAUCCUGAGACAGCCCUGGUUAUGUCCCUGCCUAUCCAAGAGCACAUCCUGGGAUUGUGCCUCAGUUUCUGUUUCACCCUGUAUAAACUAGC
Mauremys mutica (yellowpond turtle) is the source of this 2359-nucleotide long non-coding RNA. RefSeq lists it as uncharacterized. NCBI's taxonomy places the organism in Eukaryota, Metazoa, Chordata, Testudines, Geoemydidae. The record is from RefSeq and is a predicted model, not a curated record. The transcript has 3 exons.